UCCACCGAAAAUGGCGGAAAAGAAAGGGGUUUUGAAGCUCUGAAAUAUCAGCCACUUACAUCCCUUGCUAGUAAGUGAUUUUUAAUGUCUUUCUUGAUGAUUUUUACAUUUUUGGAACCUCUAAAGCAUGAGCUUUCAUAUGAGGGGUCUAUUUUGCAAAAUGAUGAAGUGUCUAGGGUUUUUCUAUGAGAGUAAAUGUGUUGUUUUCUGUGUUUUUAUGGAAGAUUAUGAGUCCUAGUUGUCUAAUAAACAACUUUUGUGAAAGAAAUUGCAUGAAAACACCUUAAAAAGGGCUAGAUUGCUAAGUUGUAAAAUGAGUUGUAAAUGUGUGAAAUAGUUGAAAUUAUGAGUUACUAUAGUUAUGAAAAUGGUUCAUCUAGACUCAAGGAGUAAAGAAAUGUGAUAAAAAUUAUUUUACGAGCCUAGAAGUAAUUUGGUAAUUUUGGCAAAAUAUAGGGGCAAAAUUGUAAAAAGUGCUCAAGUGUGUCAAUGGACUAAUUUGAUCAGUACAUUGUUUUAAUAAGUUGAAUGUGAUAUUUUAGAUGAUGAAAAUCGAGAUUUGGACCUAGAACGGAAAGAAAUCGAUUAAGGGAUAAUUACGUCUUUUUUUACCUUUGUGGUAUCGAGGUAAGUUCAUAUGUAAAUGUUGGUAACAUAGUUAUUAUUUUAAAUGUUUUGAUGUUAUUUAAAUGAUAUGAUAAUUAUUAUGAGAUAUUAUACUUGUGAUAAUUGUUUGAUAAUAUGUAAUGGCCCAAAUUUGAGGUUAUCGGAACAGUGGUUUCGAAACCACAAAUCCGAUGAGAAAAAUUUUAUUUUUCUUAUAUUUUUAUGGUCUACAAUUUCACAAAAUGAUUUUUUGAAAAUUUCGCUCGAAAAUUUCGACGUUUGGGCACUCAAUUUAGUCAAAAGGACUAAAUUGUAAAAAGUGCAAAAGUUGAGUUCUACAUGUUAGAGGUGUCCAAUUGUUAUGAAACUUUAAAUUGGAGGUCCUUAUAUGGUAAUUAUACCAUUGGUAACUUGGUAGACAAAAAUGGACAUGAGAUAAGUGAAAUAGAAAAUUUUUAAGUUAGGGGCAAUUUGGUAAUCUAGUAAUUAAAAUGAAUUAAAAGGGAAAAAGAUGGCAAAAAUCAUCAUCUUCUUCAUAUGAACGAAAUCAGCAAGGGGGGAAGCCAUAGUUAGGGUUUUCAAGCUUCCAAGCUCCAUAGUAAGUGAUCCCAAGCCCCGUUUUUAAUGUUUUUUACGUUUUUGAGAUCCCGGUAGCUUAAUUUAGCUUAUUCUAGCAAUAAUUUAACCUAGGGUUUAUAUUUGGAAAAAUAACCAUAGGUGAAAAGUGUUUAUUUUGAUGUUUUAUGAUAGAAUAUGAAGCUAUAAAUUAUGUUAAACAACUUUUGCUAAGCGAUUUUAAGUGAAAACGAGUAAAACGACAUAAUCGGUAAAAAUACCUAAUGUUCAUAAGUACAUGUUAGAGUGGGAAUUUGAUGUUGCCAUAGAAGGGAAAAAUGUUCAGAAUGUUAUAAAACAUAAGAAUAAGAGAUGAAGUUUAAUUUCCGAGCCUUGGGGCAAAAAUGUAAUUAUGUAAAAGUUUAGGGGCAAAAUUGUAAUUUUGAAAAAGUUAGAGUCGAGGGCUGUUUUGAUGAAUGUGAUUAUUAAAUAAGUUAAAUUUACUAUUUUAGAUCAAGAAGUAUGAAACUCGAGGUUAGACAAAGGGAAGAAUAAAGUUGAAGACUAAGUUGGUGAAUUUGGCUAUAAUUGGUACCGAGGUAAGUUUACGGUAAAUAAAUGCAAUAUUUCAAUAUUUAUUAUUAAUGCUGUUAAUUUCCAGCAAUUAUGAAUUUAUUUUAUGAAUUUAUUUGAUGAUGAUCCAAGCAUGAAAUGAUAGAGAAUUAAAAUUUAAAAGUCCCGUUGAUACAUAAGGAUGGUACUGGAUACGAAUGUCAUGACAUUUGGGUAAAGAGAUCCCAUGUAAGACCAUGUCUGGGACAUGGCAUUGGCAUCCUUAAGAUCAUGAGAGGUCCCCUGUAAGACCAUGUCUGGGACAUGGCAUGGGCACCGAGACGAGAGGUCCCACGUAAGACCAUGUCUGGGACAUGGCGUUGGCACCGAGAUGAGAGGUCCCCUAUAAGACCAUGUCUGGGACAUGGCAUGGGCACCAUCACGAGAACAUCCCAUGUAAGACCAUGUCUGGGACAUGGCUUUGGCAUGUUAUUAUCAGAAGAGACCCGAGUAUCCUUAUUAUUCCAAUGUAGCUCAACGGGCUUGUAAACGAAUCAUGUUCAUGAAAGUUCAGUUUAAAGCAUAAAUGGCAAGCUCAGGUAAGUUGUAAGACUUAAGAACUUAUUAUACUAUCAAUUGAUGUUCAACGAUGCAGCAAGGAUUGAGUAAGUUAUGCACACAAGUAUUCUAAGUAAACAAGUAAGAGAACUAGUAUGAGAUUAACUAAAGAGUAAACUAGAGAUAUAGACAUUGAGUUUAAUUAUUUAAGUUAAAUAUUGUUAUUUAUUUGCUAGUAAACUUACUAAGCUUUAUGCUUACUUCUUUUAUUUCUCUUUCUCUUAUAGUAUUGCAAAGCUACUUCAAGGAUCCUAAAGAAGUCGGAGAUCAUCCACACUAUCAACUACAACUGCUCGGUAUUUUAUAUCGAAACACGUUUGAGUUAUGGCAUGUAUAGGGAUUUAGUUAUUUUGUAUGUUUGUAAUGAUGAUUUUGCUAAUGAGUGAUGUGUAAGUAUUUGAUGAUGUAUGGUUAUUAAAAUGAUUAAGGAUGAAGGUGUUUGUUGUUAUGAAAGAUUAGGUGAUAAAUUAUGCAUGGAAAUCAUGAAAGGAUAAAAUUUUGCAAAGAAACAGAAUUCAGGCAGCACAGUGACGUGAAUUUGAAAAAUCACCCAAGAUAGUAUAAAAUGAAUUAGAGGGUGAAUGAUAUAUGGAAUUAAAGCUUGUUGAGUCUAUUUUCAUGGAAAAAUAACGGUGUAGAAAAAGGAAAUUUAUAUUUUAAGAUAUGUGAAUUUUAGUAAGAUAGGGUCAGAACUGUUUUUGGAGUCCCCUGUUCUGAGUUUAGAAAAUAAUUACAAAUUGUACAAAAAUGGUUAUGAGUUGAAAUUUACAUGCUUAGAUUCAUUAAUGAGUCUAUUUUCUGUAGAAACAAGUAAUAAUUUCAUAUGAAAAUCCUACAGUGAGAAAACUUAUUUUUAGUGACUAGAGGUCAGGGCAGUCAGGUGGUGAAACAGGGGAGACUUUAACUAAUAAACUGUACUAAUUUGCUGAACCAAAAAUUCUAAAAAUUUUAUGGUGAGUAGAUAUAUGAGUCUAGUUUCAGGAAAAAUUUACAGAAUUAAAUUUCGAGUUCUGUAGCUCAAGUUAUAAUUAAUUUAGUAACUGCUGUGCGAUUAGACAGAUUUGCUGCGAAUAAUGAAAUAAAUUUUCAAACCUAGUUUUUAUGCUCCGAAUUGGUAAGAUAAGCUAAGUAAUGCCUCGUGCUCGACUCCGGAAACGGUCUCGGGUAAGGGGUGUUACAUAAUAUGUCAAAUUAUAUGAUAUACUUGGAAAAUGUGAAAUACUACCGAGUAUUGGUAUCGGCAUUCCGUAGAAGAUGGUUGAGACAUAUGAUUGGGAAAAAGGUCCCGUUGAACCUUAGGAAUAGAUUAGGAUACAAGUGACAUGUCACUGGAAUAUUUGGGCAUCCGAGCUCGUUGAGUUGAGUCCGAGUUCACUUAUGGAUGCGAAUGUUCGAACUCGUUGAGUUAAGUCCAAGUUCGUGAGAUGUAACUAGGCAUCCGAGCUCGUUGAGUUGAGUCUGAGUUCACUUAUGGAUGCAAACGCCCGAGCUCGUUGAGUUGAGUCUGAGUUCACUUAUGGGCGGGUUACAUGGUAGCUUGGCUACAUAUGUGGCACUUAUGUGCAAACUUUCCAUGUAUCCGAAUUAUAUUCCGAUGUGUUCAAUGGGUAAAAUUCUACUCAAAUGGAGGAAUACUCGAGAUGAAAGGGACGUAUUGAUAAAUGUUGUGAAAUGGAUACUUUGAACAGGUAUGUACUUAACCCUCGGGUUGAAAACUCGACAUAACAACAAAAUGGUAAGAUGGUAAAUGAAAAUGUGAUAUGAAUGUCUCGGUGAUGAUUAUACAAAUGAUGUUGUAUUAAUUUUGUGAGCAAUGAUCAUGAAUGAGUAAUUUAGCCUUGACAGAUUUGAGUUACUGCAGUAGUGUAACUUUGAAAAUACACUAAAAACAGUGGAAAAUAAGUUAGAGGCAGAAUAAAAUAUGGGAUUAAAGCUUGAUGAUUCUAUUUUCACAUGAAAGAAACAGAGGAAGAAAAAGAAUUCCAUAUUGUGUGAUAUAUGAAUUCUUGUGAAACAGGGUCUGCAUGAAUUCGAGAUCCCCUGUUCUAACUUUAGAAAUUCACAAAAAAUUUUACAAAAAUUAUUAAGAGUCAUACCUUACAUUCAUGGAUUCCUUAUUGAGUCUAAUUUUAGGGGAAAUAAACGGCAUGGUCGUUGGAAUUCUGUACAGGGAGAAAUUCUGUUCGUAGUGCACAGGGGUUAGAGUGGUCAUACCCUAAAAUAGGGGAGACUUUAACUAAUAAACUGUACUAAUUGGCCAAUCCAAAAAUUCUAGAAAAAAAAUUAGUAAGUAGAAAUAUGAGUCUAGUUUCAAGAGAAAUAGACGAGAACAUUAUUCGAGUCUUGUACUAUGAGAUAAUUGAACUUUAGUACAGAAGGGUCGGAACUAGCAAACAGUGAAUCAGGGGUAACUUUGAGGAAUAAACUGUACUAUUUGGCUUAACCAAAAAUUUUAGAAAUUUUAUGGAAAAAAGGAAAAUAAGUCUAGUUUCAUGGAAAAUUAACAGAGCUUAAUUCGGAGUUUCAUAGCUCCAGAUAUAAAUAAUUUAGUGACUAUUGCUCAGAAAGACAGCUUGUAGUGAACUUGAGAAUAUGUUGUAAACAUUGAUAAAACAAGUUAAUGAGUUACUUAUUGUUUUCAUAUGAACUUACUAAGCGAAAGCUUACCCCCCUUCUUUCCCAUGUUUCCUAGGGUUGCCAGGUUAGCUCGGGUUGGAGGCCGUCAGAGAUAUUAUCACACUGUCAAGCUAACGCUAUUGGUGUAGUGAUUUCAAGUACUUUGAGCCUAUGGCAUGUAUAGGAGUUUAAAUAUUAGAGUAUGUGAUAUGGCUUUAACCAUAUGUGUUGGCCUAUUUGGAUUAUGGGGUUGUAAAUCUAUUUUAAUUAUGCAUGCAUGUGCUAUGGUAUUAUGUGAUGAGUUUAUAAUGAUUAUAGUAUGAAUGUGAUAAAGAUGUG
Molecule: long non-coding RNA, 5286 nt
Filed under: Gossypium barbadense (sea-island cotton)
Lineage: Eukaryota; Viridiplantae; Streptophyta; Magnoliopsida; Malvales; Malvaceae
Description: long non-coding RNA (GBAR_LNC012418)
Source: RNAcentral